UAGUCUCUAAGGAGUAAAGAUUUAUCGCUUUGGGAGCGGUCUGCGCAGUAUCAGCUAGUUGGUAGGGUAAAAGCCUACCAAGGCUAUGACGCUUAGGGGAGGUGAGAGCCUGACCCCCACCGAUGGGACUGAGACACGGCCCAUACACCUACGGGUGGCUGCAGUCGAGAAUCUUCCGCAAUGGACGAAAGUCUGACGGAGCGACGCCGCGUGAUGGAUGAAGUGGUUCGCCAUGUAAACAUCUUUUAUGAGCUACUAAAUUUUGAAGAGCUCAUGAAUAAGGAGUUGCUAAACUCGUGCCAGCAGCAGCGGUAAUACGAGUGCUCCAAGCGUUAUCCGGAAUUAUUGGGCGUAAAGGGUGUGUAGGUUGUCUUGUUAGUCAGGUGUUAAAACUCUCCGCUUAACGGAGAAGGGGCAUUUGAAACGGCAAGACUUGAAGAUGCGAGAGGUGAACAGAACUCAUGGUGUAGGGGUGAAAUCCGUUGAUAUCAUGGGGAAUACCAAAUGCGAAGGCAGUUCACUGGCGCACUCUUGACACUGAAACACGAAA
RNAcentral lists this ribosomal RNA (550 nucleotides) under uncultured soil bacterium S0212. RNAcentral describes it as "bacterial SSU rRNA". It matches the Rfam family "Bacterial small subunit ribosomal RNA", at positions 188 to 758 of the family's 1533-position model. The record is from RNAcentral.